AGGACGAACGCUGGCGGCGUGCCUAACACAUGCAAGUCGAGCGAUGAAACCCUUCGGGUGGAUUAGCGGCGGACGGGUGAGUAACACGUGGGUAACCUGCCUCAAAGAGGGGAAUAGCCUCCCGAAAGGGAGAUUAAUACCGCAUAAUAUGUUUUGAUCGCAUGAUCUUGACAUCAAAGGAGUAAUCCGCUUUGAGAUGGACCCGCGGCGCAUUAGCUAGUUGGUGAGGUAACGGCUCACCAAGGCGACGAUGCGUAGCCGACCUGAGAGGGUGAUCGGCCACAUUGGAACUGAGACACGGUCCAGACUCCUACGGGAGGCAGCAGUGGGGAAUAUUGCGCAAUGGGGGAAACCCUGACGCAAGCGACGCCGCGUGAAUGAUGAAGGCCUUCGGGUUGUAAAGUUCUGUCUUCUGGGACGAUAAUGACGGUACCAGAGGAGGAAGCCACGGCUAACUACGUGCCAGCCGCAGC
Molecule: ribosomal RNA, 473 nt
Filed under: uncultured bacterium
Lineage: Bacteria
Description: bacterial SSU rRNA
Rfam family: Bacterial small subunit ribosomal RNA
Source: RNAcentral